ACACUGAGAUGAAGAGCCAUUUGAAUUUGUUUAUGUAAUUAUUGAAGACAACGUAGGCUAUCCUACAAUAUACUUCACUAGCAACACCAAGCUAACUAAAGAAUUCAUAAGCUCACAAGAAUGAAUUCAACAAUCACAAAUUUAUAACCUGACAGUCCCAUCACAGUUAAGUUUCAAUCUAAUUAUACAGGGUAAACACAAAUUGAAAGGAAACUAUAUUUAUCUGAGAAUUACUCUAAUACUGCAAAUCGAGAAUACAAAUUUCUAAAUAGCAUUUUUAUUUCACCAUCUCGUUUCACAAAUUACAUCAGCUGGUGUUUCGAAUAUGUACCUGGAAACUGGAAAGGAACAGAAAGAAGGAGAGAAUAGCAAUAGUAGUAAACAACACCAACAACUGGAGUCCAAAUAACACCAACCACACCAGUUUUAGCCAAGAAAUACGUUUGACAACCCAAUAAUUUCGGAGAGGGACGGAAUCAAGAAAAUACAAUCACAAACCACUUGAACCCAUCAAAUAGACUCAAAGUUGAACCCAGGUGAUUCAAAUCAGCCUCAGCAGUAGAAACAAACAAAUAAUAACUCAAAUAGAUCCUAAUCUGAUUCCAAAGACCAAAUCAAAGUGAUUUCAGGACUUCAAUUACUAGAUACUGAACUAAAAUGGCAGCAAUUCAGGAAUAAUUCGACAAUCAACCAGCACAAACAACAGGAGCCAUUUUCUAAUCACAAACGAACUAUCAAACAACCAGAAACAACCUAGUCCUCGAAAAUCAACAAACUAGUCCCAAAAUAGACUGAUUGAACCCAGAAUCCACUUGAAAAACCUACUAGAAAUUUCUGUUUUCACUUCAGUCCUUGUUUUAUUUCAGAUUAGUCCUCCUAUUUUUGACUUGUUUAUCAAGUAAGUGCACUACAAUUGCUGAAGUCUGCACUAGGGUUCUUGACCGUUUUUGAUUUUGCACUUUCGAGGAUAUCAGUCACAACUUGACGCCAGUUGUUGAUGGAUUAAUGAUGAGGAGACGGGGAGGCUUAGUGGUGUGAAUUUGGUCCAGAUUGGGAAGCGUCGCCGCGGUGGACGGCAGAGACGGCGGCAAUUCUUUCAAUUAUUCGACGCCGUCCAGUGGGAUUCGAGAGAUGAUAAUGGGAUAUUUGUGAUGAGGGCAUUGAGGCGGUUUCAGGGUGUAAAUUUGAGAGCCACCGGAGAUGGUGACGUUUUCUCCGGUGGUGGCUGGUGGUGGAGGCUCUUCAGGGAAAGGUUUUACGAGGAAGAGAUACAUGUUUUUUUAGGGUUAUACACGAAAUUCCGACAACUUUGUUAUAAUGACAAAACCAAUUGAGACCGUUGGAUCAAGGAGAUUUGAUGGCCCAGAUUAAAGGGACAUGAAACAGCAUCGUUUGGAGUCAUUUGGAAGCCGGACCGAAUUUCGGGGAAAUUGGGCC
Molecule: long non-coding RNA, 1437 nt
Filed under: Nicotiana benthamiana
Lineage: Eukaryota; Viridiplantae; Streptophyta; Magnoliopsida; Solanales; Solanaceae
Description: long non-coding RNA (NBEN_LNC024327)
Source: RNAcentral